This 457-nucleotide long non-coding RNA is filed under the name Zonotrichia albicollis (white-throated sparrow). RNAcentral describes it as "lncRNA (ENSZALG00000009221.1)". Lineage: Eukaryota; Metazoa; Chordata; Aves; Passeriformes; Passerellidae. The record is from RNAcentral.
CUGAAGAUGGGAACGCUGAGACACUGCCUCCCGAUCUCCUAGGUGACAGGAGCUUGUGUCACUAAUUGGUCCCCGAGCCUGCGGCACCGGUGACGCGAUGGGGCUGAAAGGCAGCAAUUACAGCUGAAGGGAUUCGGUAAAGAAUUCGUAAUGCUGGUUCAUGCACUACUCCCAGAUAUUAAGAAACACAUUGUAAGAAGUCUGUCUCCUCGAAAUAAGGUGUGGACGCACAGCAGUGCCUGGCUCUGCCCAUGAGGAUCAGGAAGAUCCUGCCCAGAGGUGAACUCCACAGUGCUGUGCUGAAAUGAGAAGCUCUCCAGCUCAGGAUCCAACCUCUUUGGCCAAAUCCUCAAUCCUUUAUGUUCCGGUGGUACAAAGCUUGCACGAAGCUGACCUGGGGUCCUGAGGAGUGUUUCCAUCUCACUGAAGAUCCAUGAUUGAAGUCCUGACCUGCCUA